This 1304-nucleotide ribosomal RNA is filed under the name uncultured bacterium. RNAcentral describes it as "bacterial SSU rRNA". It matches the Rfam family "Bacterial small subunit ribosomal RNA", at positions 146 to 1444 of the family's 1533-position model. The record is from RNAcentral.
GCCCGGCGAAAGCCGGAUUAAUACCGCAUAAUCUCUGAGGAGGAAAGUGGGGGACCUUCGGGCCUUACGCUGAUGGAGCGGCUGAUGUCGGAUUAGCUUGUUGGUAGGGUAAAGGCCUACCAAGGCGACGAUCCGUAGCUGGUCUGAGAGGACGACCAGCCACACUGGAACUGAGACACGGUCCAGACUCCUACGGGAGGCAGCAGUGGGGAAUUUUGGACAAUGGGGGCAACCCUGAUCCAGCCAUGCCGCGUGCGGGAAGAAGGCCUUCGGGUUGUAAACCGCUUUCAGACGGAAAGAAACAGUACAAGCUAAUACCUUGUACGAAUGACGGUACCGUCAGAAGAAGCACCGGCUAACUACGUGCCAGCAGCCGCGGUAAUACGUAGGGUGCGAGCGUUAAUCGGAAUUACUGGGCGUAAAGAGUGCGCAGGCGGCUCUCUAAGACAGGUGUGAAAUCCCCGGGCUUAACCUGGGAAUGGGCGCUUGUGACUGGAGAGCUAGAGUGUGGCAGAGGGGAAUGGAAUUCCUGGUGUAGCAGUGAAAUGCGUAGAUAUCAGGAGGAACACCGAUGGCGAAGGCAGUUCCCUGGGCCAACACUGACGCUCAUGCACGAAAGCGUGGGGAGCAAACAGGAUUAGAUACCCUGGUAGUCCACGCCCUAAACGAUGUCAACUAGUUGUUGGGGAAGGAGACUUCUUUAGUAACGUAGCUAACGCGUGAAGUUGACCGCCUGGGGAGUACGGCCGCAAGGUUAAAACUCAAAGGAAUUGACGGGGACCCGCACAAGCGGUGGAUGAUGUGGAUUAAUUCGAUGCAACGCGAAAAACCUUACCUACCCUUGACAUGUGAGGAACUUGUGAGAGAUCACUUGGUGCCCGAAAGGGAACCUCAACACAGGUGCUGCAUGGCUGUCGUCAGCUCGUGUCGUGAGAUGUUGGGUUAAGUCCCGCAACGAGCGCAACCCUUGUCAUUAGUUGCUACAUUUAGUUGAGCACUCUAAUGAGACUGCCGGUGACAAACCGGAGGAAGGUGGGGAUGACGUCAAGUCCUCAUGGCCCUUAUGGGUAGGGCUUCACACGUCAUACAAUGGCGCGUACAGAGGGUUGCCAACCCGCAAGGGGGAGCUAAUCCCAGAAAGCGCGUCGUAGUCCGGAUUGUUCUCUGCAACUCGAGAACAUGAAGUCGGAAUCGCUAGUAAUCGCGGAUCAGCAUGUCGCGGUGAAUACGUUCCCGGGUCUUGUACACACCGCCCGUCACACCAUGGGAGUAGGUUUCACCAGAAGUAGCUAGCCCAACCGUAA